CCUACGGGGUGCUGCAGUGGGGAAUAUUGCACAAUGGGCGCAAGCCUGAUGCAGCCAUGCCGCGUGUGUGAAGAAGGCCUUCGGGUUGUAAAGCACUUUCAGCGGGGAGGAAGGCGUUAAGGUUAAUAACCUUGUCGAUUGACGUUACCCCCAGAAGAAGCACCGGCUAACUCCGUGCCAGCAGCCGCGGUAAUACGGAGGGUGCAAGCGUUAAUCGGAAUUACUGGGCGUAAAGCGCACGCAGGCGGUCUGUCAAGUCGGAUGUGAAAUCCCCGGGCUCAACCUGGGAACUGCAUUCGAAACUGGCAGGCUAGAGUCUUGUAGAGGGGGGUAGAAUUCCAGGUGUAGCGGUGAAAUGCGUAGAGAUCUGGAGGAAUACCGGUGGCGAAGGCGGCCCCCUGGACAAAGACUGACGCUCAGGUGCGAAAGCGUGGGGAGCAAACAGGAUUAGAUACCCGGUAGUC
RNAcentral lists this ribosomal RNA (464 nucleotides) under uncultured Klebsiella sp. RNAcentral's name for it is "bacterial SSU rRNA". It matches the Rfam family "Bacterial small subunit ribosomal RNA", at positions 338 to 795 of the family's 1533-position model. The record is from RNAcentral. Lineage: Bacteria; Pseudomonadati; Pseudomonadota; Gammaproteobacteria; Enterobacterales; Enterobacteriaceae.